UAGGACAAUCUAGUUUUGAGGUCACCAUCAUCGGUAAAUGAUGAUUCUUUGUACUUAUGGGUUGAAUCCGAUCUUACAUUUUUAAAUUUCUUGAUGAUAUGGUACAAGUGUCAGAGAUGUCCCGUAGAUAAAUCUUUAGCUCUUUCUUUUUGUAUAGUACAACUGUUUACAGAUCAUAGAGUUUUUGGGGUAGUAGGAAUUUUGUGAUGAGACCUGUUUAGCCAAGCUUAAGAAAUCUGCUUAUAUUGAAAAGUGAUUUUUGGCAAUAGUACAACAACAUACCCAUCGAAAUCUCACAAGUGAGGUUUGUUUUUUAGCAAACGUGCUUCUUGAAAAAUUACUUUUGGAGAGUAGCAGUUUGUGUUCGCUAAUCAAUAUGAAAAGUACUUUUGCCAAUAUUAAAGCAGCAAUUCGUGCCAACCCUUUGUUUUCUCUGAGAUUUUAGGGUUUCAAUUUCUUUUUUCUUCUUGUCUCCAACUUUUGCGAAUGCGAGUUCUUCUAUGGCUUCAAUGGAAUUCGGUGAUGGUCGAAAAAGAGGAAGGCCACAUGGCCUUAUGAAUGGCAGAGGCAGCUUCCAGAAAUCUAAGCAAGCAAGGUUACAAUGCUUAUGAUUUUGUCCAUGCAGCAAGGGGAUAUACAUAUCACUCAUGGUUUGGCGACGCCUUUUGUAUUUUCUUUUAAAAAGCUUUGUAUAUACAGCUCUGUGAUCCUAGACUGGUGGCAGGUUUUCACUGAGUGGGCAGGGAAGUCAAGUAUCAGGCUAAUAAAUGCCUCUAGUGUUUAUUUACUCACAUCUUAGUCUUUUCUGCAUCUGCUGUCCAUCACUUAACUGUACCCAUCUAACAGGUGAGAAUUUUGGUCCAACUCCAGGGUGGUCUCAUUUCCUUGUUUUUCCCAUACAUGUAAAAGUAAGACGCAUAGCUGAGUGUCUAUUGGAAAUAGCCUCUCUACCUCCAAGGUGGUAGGGGUUAUGUCUGCGUACACUCUACCCUGCCCAGAGCACACUCUAUGAUAUUACAUUGGGUUUUUAGUUGUUGUAUGUAAAAAGUUAGACGCAUGCUCUCCACAUAAACGUCUUUAGGUCAAAGGUCUAUGAUGCAAGACUAUGGUACCUUAUGCAACUAUGCUCAGAUAUACAUGGAAUCCAUAUCCAGGGUUUACUUUUAGGCUUUCUUAUAAAUAAAGAAGAAGAAUCCAUAUCCUGAGUUUGAUUUUCUGCCUUGUGAUUACCCUUCUGAGUUCUGGUUUUUCUAUGUUGUUUGUGAUCCAUUAGAUUUGCCAUUGUAGAUCUGUUAGUUGUUAGCCCACACCGUAUAUUGGGGUUCGACUAGCUGCCACUUGAAGUUAAACCGCUUUUGAAAAGUAGUCAGGGUGAAAGGUCCAUAAUUAUAACUCUUUUUCUUUGAAAGAGAAGGGAGGAUGUUGCUCUCACAUAUUUGCUCAAGGGCCAGCAUGUUUUAUAGUGAUUGUAAUUUAAAAAGGAUUUUAUUCUCACAAGUCAUAUAGUCUUUGAACAGCUUCUUCUUUAGGAGGUAGACUGGAUUUAGGACGCAACAAAUGUUUGAAACAACUGCUACCAAGUCAAUGGGUUGGUCGACGAAUGUGUGCUCUAAUUGUAGCUUUGCUGAAUGAAUGACCAAGGUUGGAACCAAACCGGGUAACUUUAGAGGUGAUCGUGAUGUUAAAUUCUGAAGAAUCAAUGGUUCUAUCGGUGACCUGUUCAAAAGGAGCAGGCUGCUUUGACUUUGAUCAGCCAACGAGUGCCGGGGUGCUGUGCUCUUGUUCAUUUGUUGGUGAUAUUUGUACAUGUGAUUUAACUGUUGUAAUAGCAGGGUUUCUACUUUGUCAAGUUGUAUAGUUCAAUAAGCUCUUAAUGUAGCAUUGUCGAACGUGAAUCUAAAUGUGAGAACUAAUAAUUUAGCUCUUUCCAAUAAGGGCUUUUUACAGGACAAAUGCCAAAUGCAAAGAAUGCAAAAAAUGCGGCUUAGCCAGUUUGCUCAA
Molecule: long non-coding RNA, 2001 nt
Organism: Solanum dulcamara
Lineage: Eukaryota; Viridiplantae; Streptophyta; Magnoliopsida; Solanales; Solanaceae
Exons: 3
Source: RefSeq, a predicted model, not a curated record